Molecule: RNA transcript, 5123 nt
Organism: Acinonyx jubatus (cheetah)
Lineage: Eukaryota; Metazoa; Chordata; Mammalia; Carnivora; Felidae
Gene: WBP2NL
Gene name: WBP2 N-terminal like
Exons: 8
Source: RefSeq, a predicted model, not a curated record
ACCUCCCCUUCAAAGCCCCGCCCCCCGGCUUGGCACAGGCCCCGCCCCUUUCCAUCUGAGGGGCGACAGAAGGGCGCCUGGGGCAAGAUGGCGGUGAAUCAGAGCCACACCGAGAACCGCCGCGGGGCUUUCAUUCCUUCCAGCGACAGUGUCUUGAUGCAGUCUCAGGAUGUGGACCUCUCCUUCCCACAGCAACCAGAGAGAUCCAGUCUCUUCAGUGGUACAAAGAGGGGGACACUGUUUCUCACUUCAUACCGGGUGAUCUUCGUGACUUCACACUUAGUCAGUGAUCCCAUGUUUUCUUUCAUGAUGCCAUUUGAUCUGAUGAGUAACUGCACCGUUGAACAACCGGUCUUUGCUGCCAACUACAUUAAAGGGACUAUUCAGGCAGCUCCGGAUGGUGGCUGGGAAGGACAGGCUACUUUUAAAUUAGCCUUCAGAAAAGGAGGUGCCAUCGAAUUUGCCCAGCUGAUGGUGAAAGCUGCCUCUGCUGCUGCCAGAGGAGUUCCACUUGGAAGUGCAAGUUACUGGUUCAGCCCUCCAGGACUGCUUGUAGUUACUGGGCAGGGGAACAUGAUGUGCACGCAACAGAUGCCUUGUCCAGCAUACCCAUUUGUUGUCUAUGGAUCCCCACAGGCAGGAUAUGGACCCCCACAGGCAGGAUAUGGACCCCCACAGGCUGGAUAUGGACCCCCACAGGUGGAAUAUAGACACCUGCCAUGGGGAUACGGACCCCCACCAGCAGGAUACGGACCCCCACCUGUGGGAUCUGGAGCCCCACCAGGAGCAUACAGAGCCCUGCCUGUGGGAUACGGAGCCCUCCCAGCUGGAAACGAAACCUUACCGACUGGAAGUGAAAACCCAGGGGCUGGAAAUCAAGCCCCACCUCCAGGAUAUGAAGUUUCACCUGCUGGAAUUAGAGCUGGGUCUGGCAAAUCUGUGGCAAUCCAACCUCCUGGGUAUGAGGCUUCUCUUCCCCCUGCCUCAUCUUCUCAGAGCCAUUCACCAUCUUCCAAGAAUUAAACCUUGAAGACUCGCCAAGCAAAGUGGCACCCGAAAACCGAAGUCAGAAUAGGAAGGUAGACUCAGGUGCCAGGCAGUCGGAAGCGUUUCCUGCGCAUGUGGUGGCCUGAUCCUGUCUGCGCAUCUGUGAGGUCCUGGGAAAUGAUAUGGGAAAGGGAGAGGCUGUCUCCAUUCCUGGAGCCAUCUGAUAAUGAGGUAAGGAUGGCAGAAAAGUGUGGAUAACAUUGAAUGGGAUAAAAGGAAUGUUACAAUGUUACUUUGCACUGAUAUGCACAAGGUCUGAAAAUGGCAGGAGGAUGUCCAUUCCUAAUGAUACCCAGUCCUAUCCGUCUUCAAUCCUCCUCUUGGGCAUCCCAGGGCUGGAAGAUGUACGCAUCUGGACUGGACUCCCCUUUUCUUUGUGUUCAUUGUUGCAUUCCUGGGGAAUGCUGCUGUCCUGUGUGUGAUCCAGACUGAGCAUAUUCUUCACAAGCUCAUGUACUACUUCCUUGCUGUGUUGGACCCUAUUGACCUGAGCCUCUCCACAGCCAGCACCCCUAAAAUGCUGGGUGUCUUCUGGUUGAGUCUCAGAGAUAUAUAUCUCUUUUUUAAAAGUUGAGGUAAGAACAGAACAUAAAGCUUAUCUUAACCAUUUUUAAGUGUAAACUUCAGUAGUGUUAACUAUAUUCACUUUGUUGAGUAGUGGAUCUCUAGGAUUUUUGCAUACAAAACGGAAACUCUAUACCCACUGAACAAUUCCAUUUCCCUUCCCCCAAGCCCCUGGCAACUACCAUUCUACUUUGUUUCUACAAAAUUCACUACUUUAGGUACUUCAUAUAAGUGGAAUCAUACAGUAUCUGUCUUUUUGUGUCUGGCUUAUUUCACUUAACGUAUCCUCAAGGUUCAUCCAUGUUGUAGCAUGUGACAGAACUUCCUUCUUUUUAAGACUGAAAAUAAUAUGUAUGUAUAUACCUAAUUUUCUUUAUACAUUCAUCCAUUAAUGGACUUUUGGGUUACAUGUCUUUGCUACUGUGCAUAAUACUGCAAUAGACAUGGGUGUGAGUUUUUUUUUUUUUAUUGUUGUCAUUGUUUUAAAGAUUUUAAAGUAAUCUCUACAGCCAACGUGGGGUUAAAACUUGCAACCCUGAGAUCAAGAGUCACAUGCUCUACACUGAGCCAGCCAGGCACCCCUGGUGUGAGUUUUUUUAACAGCCUCAUUGAGAUAUAAUUCAUAUACUAUAAUUCAUUUAAUGUAUACAAUUCAAUGGGUUUUAGUGUAUUCACAGAUAUGUGCAACCAUCGAUGGCUCUAGUCAAUUCAAGAACAUUUUCAGGGGUGCCUAGGUGGCUCAGUCGGUUGAACAUCUGACUCUUGAUUUCAGCUCAGCUCAUGAUCCCAGGGUCAUGGGAUCAGCCCUUGUCUAGCUCCAUGAUGAGCGCAGAUCCUGCUUCAGAUUUUUUCUCUUCCCUCUGCCCUUCUUCCCAGCUUGUGCUCUCUCUUUCUGAAUCUAAAAAAGAAGAGAGAGAGAGAACAUUUUAAUCACUUCCAAAAGAAACCUUGUACUUUUUAGUUGUUAUCCCUUAUCCCUCCAUUCUCCCCACCCAGCCCUAAACAACCACUAAUCUCUCUGUCUUACAGAUUUCCCUUUCCUGGACCCUCAAAGGAAUGGAAUCAUAUAGUAUGUGGCCUUUUGUGACCAGCUUCUUUCCCUUUGCAUAAUUUUCAAGGUUCAUCCAUGUUGUAGCAUGUGUUAGUACUUUACUCCAUAUGUGGCUGAAUAAUAAUACAUUGUAUGGUUAACCAUAUUUUGUUUAUUCAUUCACCAGUUGGUGGACAUUUGGGUUCUUUCCACCUUUUGGCUGCUAUGAAUAAUGUUGCUGUAAACAUCUGUGUACAAGGUUUUGUGUGACAUAUGCUUUCAUUUCUUUUGGAUAUAUACCUAGAUGUGGAAUUUCUGGGUGAUAUAGUAACUGCAUUUGAUCAUUUGAGGGAUUGCCAGAUUAUUUUCCACAGUAGCUGUACCAGUUUUACAUUUCUACCAGUAGCAUAUAUGAGGGUUCUAAUUUCCCCACAUCCUUAUAACUAUGACUUUUUUUAUUCUAUCCACCUUUCUAGGUGUGAAGUGGUGUCUUGUGUUUAUUAUUUGCAUUUCCCUAACGGUUAGUGAUGUUGAGCUCUGGCCAUUUGCAGAUCUUCCUUGGAAAAAUGUCUGUUCAGAUCCUUUACCCAUUUUUAAAUUGGGUUGUCUUUUUAUUGAGUUGUGAGAGUUCUUCAUAUACUUUACAUAGAAGUCCCUCAUCAGAUAUGUAAUUGCAGAUAUUUUCUCCCAUUGUGGGGGUUGUCUUUUCUCUCUUCCAUAUAGGCAAAUUAUAGCUACAAAUUUCCCUCUGAUCACUGCUUUCACCCCAUAAGUUUUGGUAUGUUGUAUUUUAGUGUUUUGGGUACAUUUUAUGUUCAUUUUCAUUCAUGUCAAGUAUUUUCCCUAGUAUGUGAUGACUUGCUUCUGUCUUCUUUCAAAAUUCUGCCUAUGUCUUUUGAGAGUUUGGUUAUGCUGUGUCUAGGUAUGCAUCCCUUUGAGUUUAUCUUAUUUGGAGGGUAAAUUCAUUGAAUUUCUUUAAUGUGUAGCUUAAUUUUUGUCAUCAAAUAUGGGGAACUUUUAGCCAGUAUUUUUCAAAUAUUCUUUCUGCCCUUUCUCUCUUCUUCUGUGUAUGUUGGUAUGCUGCACGGUGUCUCGUAGGUCUCUGAGCAUCUGUUCAUUUUUCUUUUCUUCUGUUCCUCAGGCUAAUUUCAAUGGCCCUAUCUUGGAGUCUGCUGAUUUUUUUUCUGCCUGGGCAUGUCUGCUGUUGAGCCCCUCUAGUUAAUUUUUUUUUUUUUAUUUCAGUUACUAGACUUUUCAACUUGUAGGUUCCUUUCUGUAACUUCAAUAUCUUUACUGAUAUUCUCUACUGAGACAUCAUUCUUAUGAUUUCCUUUAGUUUAGUUUAGUUUUUUUGUUUUGUUUUAUUUUUUUAGAGAGCAUGAGGAGGGGAGAGAGGGUGAGGAAGGGAGAGAGAAUCUCAAGCAGGCUCCCCGCUCAGCACUGAGCCUGACAUGGGUCUUGAUCCCACAACCCUGGGAUCAUGACCUGAGCUGAAACAAAGAGCUGGGCACACAACCAACUGAGCCACCAGGUGCCCCUCCUUUAGUUUUUUAUGCAUGGUUUCCUUUAGCUCUUCGAACAUAUUUAAACUAGCUGAUUUAAAAUCUGAUACUAGGGUAAAUUAAGACAUUAACAAAAAAGACAUUAAAAAGCUUGCUCUGUUCAUACCAAGAUUCAACUGUCUUUCUUAACUGAAUACUCUCUGGGCUGCUGCAGACUUUUGGUUAAUUUCCAAUGUUCUAUGAAAGUUGAUUCUGAUAAUAUGUGGCAAGGUUUUCAUUGCUUUUAUGGAGGGAACAAACAUUUGGUGGUUAUCACUGGACCAUUUUUUGUUGACUUCUUGCUUGGAUUUUGAUUCAAAUAAACUAUAGAAAGAUAUUUUUGAGACAGUUGGCAAAAAAACACAGAAUGGUUGUUAGAUUAUUAAAAACUUAACUUUUUGGACAGGAAAAUUGUAUUAAGGUCACAUAUAUUAAGGUGACCUUAAUAUACUCUAUACUUAUAUACUCUAGCUCACAAGAAAAAAGUAUGUGUGGGAAGAGAGAUAUGAAAUAAUGGCACAUAUUGAUGGUUGUUAGAACUGAAUAAUGGGUACAUGGAGGUUCACUGCACCAUUUUAUUUUUGUGUUUGAAAAUUUUUAUAAUAAAAUAAUUCUUAAAAGAAGAGGUGUGCCCUUGGAUCCAAACAAGACUGCCUUGAACUGGGAAAAAAUUGAGUCCCUAACUGGCUGUGGGUAGAAGAGAAUAAAACAAUGCCUGGAAGAUAGGCAGGGUGUGAUGUUGACAGCAUGAAGGCUAAAAGUAUAGAAUCAAUCAGGCACCCCCAGGAUAAAAGUGCAAGUUAUAUCACAAGUGAAGACAUGCAACCGUGUCUCAGUCUGGAAGGCUGCUCCCUAAUCCUGACUCCCAAGUCCAUGGUCUCAACCACCAUCCCCUGCCACAUCCCAGGGUAGUGGGAAAGACUUCUUUCCUGGGACUGGCC